CACUUCGGUGGGGAUUAGUGGCGAACGGGUGAGUAACACGUGGGCAAUCUGCCCUGCACUCUGGGACAAGCCCUGGAAACGGGGUCUAAUACCGGAUACUGACCCCCGCAGGCAUCUGUGGGGUUCGAAAGCUCCGGCGGUGCAGGAUGAGCCCGCGGCCUAUCAGCUUGUUGGUGAGGUAACGGCUCACCAAGGCGACGACGGGUAGCCGGCCUGAGAGGGCGACCGGCCACACUGGGACUGAGACACGGCCCAGACUCCUACGGGAGGCAGCAGUGGGGAAUAUUGCACAAUGGGCGAAAGCCUGAUGCAGCGACGCCGCGUGAGGGAUGACGGCCUUCGGGUUGUAAACCUCUUUCAGCAGGGAAGAAGCGAAAGUGACGGUACCUGCAGAAGAAGCGCCGGCUAACUACGUGCCAGCAGCCGCGGUAAUACGUAGGGCGCGAGCGUUGUCCGGAAUUAUUGGGCGUAAAGAGCUCGUAGGCGGCUUGUCACGUCGGUUGUGAAAGCCCGGGGCUUAACCCCGGGUCUGCAGUCGAUACGGGCAGGCUAGAGUUCGGUAGGGGAGAUCGGAAUUCCUGGUGUAGCGGUGAAAUGCGCAGAUAUCAGGAGGAACACCGGUGGCGAAGGCGGAUCUCUGGGCCGAUACUGACGCUGAGGAGCGAAAGCGUGGGGAGCGAACAGGAUUAGAUACCCUGGUAGUCCACGCCGUAAACGGUGGGCACUAGGUGUGGGCGACAUUCCACGUCGUCCGUGCCGCA
This 761-nucleotide ribosomal RNA is filed under the name Streptomyces sp. TGR24. Its description in RNAcentral is "bacterial SSU rRNA". It matches the Rfam family "Bacterial small subunit ribosomal RNA", at positions 76 to 850 of the family's 1533-position model. The record is from RNAcentral. Lineage: Bacteria; Bacillati; Actinomycetota; Actinomycetes; Kitasatosporales; Streptomycetaceae.